Molecule: ribosomal RNA, 890 nt
Filed under: Acrophialophora fusispora
Lineage: Eukaryota; Fungi; Ascomycota; Sordariomycetes; Sordariales; Chaetomiaceae
Description: eukaryotic LSU rRNA
Rfam family: Eukaryotic large subunit ribosomal RNA
Source: RNAcentral
GCGGAGGAAAAGAAACCAACAGGGAUUGCCCUAGUAACGGCGAGUGAAGCGGCAACAGCUCAAAUUUGAAAUCUGGCUUCGGCCCGAGUUGUAAUUUGCAGAGGAAGCUUUAGGCGCGGCACCUCCUGAGUCCCCUGGAACGGGGCGCCACAGAGGGUGAGAGCCCCGUAUAGUUGGAUGCCUAGCCUGUGUAAAGCUCCUUCGACGAGUCGAGUAGUUUGGGAAUGCUGCUCAAAAUGGGAGGUAAAUUUCUUCUAAAGCUAAAUACCGGCCAGAGACCGAUAGCGCACAAGUAGAGUGAUCGAAAGAUGAAAAGCACUUUGAAAAGAGGGUUAAAUAGCACGUGAAAUUGUUGAAAGGGAAGCGCUUGUGACCAGACUUGCGCCGGGCUGAUCAUCCGGUGUUCUCACCGGUGCACUCUGCCCGGCUCAGGCCAGCAUCGGUUCUCGCGGGGGGAUAAAGGCCCUGGGAACGUAGCUCCUCCGGGAGUGUUAUAGCCCGGGGCGGAAUGCCCUCGCGGGGACCGAGGUUCGCGCUCUGCAAGGAUGCUGGCGUAAUGGUCAUCAGCGACCCGUCUUGAAACACGGACCAAGGAGUCAAGGUUUUGCGCGAGUGUUUGGGUGUAAAACCCGCACGCGUAAUGAAAGUGAACGUAGGUGAGAGCUUCGGCGCAUCAUCGACCGAUCCUGAUGUUCUCGGAUGGAUUUGAGUAGGAGCGUUAAGCCUUGGACCCGAAAGAUGGUGAACUAUGCUUGGAUAGGGUGAAGCCAGAGGAAACUCUGGUGGAGGCUCGCAGCGGUUCUGACGUGCAAAUCGAUCGUCAAAUCUGAGCAUGGGGGCGAAAGACUAAUCGAACCAUCUAGUAGCUGGUUACCGCCAAUUUCCCCUCC